UGGGGAAUAUUGCACAAUGGACGAAAGUCUGAUGCAGCAACGCCGCGUGGAGGAUGACACAUUUCGGUGCGUAAACUCCUUUUAUAUAGGAAGAUAAUGACGGUACUAUAUGAAUAAGCACCGGCUAACUCCGUGCCAGCAGCCGCGGUAAUACGGAGGGUGCAAGCGUUACUCGGAAUCACUGGGCGUAAAGAGCGUGUAGGCGGGUAUAUAAGUCAGAAGUGAAAUCCUAUAGCUUAACUAUAGAACUGCUUUUGAAACUGUAUACCUAGAAUGUUGGAGAGGUAGAUGGAAUGUCUUGUGUAGGGGUAAAAUCCGUAGAGAUCAGAAGGAAUACCGAUUGCGAAGGCGAUCUACUGGAACAUUAUUGACGCUGAGACGCGAAAGCGUGGGGAGCAAACA
This 402-nucleotide ribosomal RNA is filed under the name uncultured prokaryote. RNAcentral describes it as "bacterial SSU rRNA". It matches the Rfam family "Bacterial small subunit ribosomal RNA", at positions 355 to 774 of the family's 1533-position model. The record is from RNAcentral.